This 301-nucleotide ribosomal RNA is filed under the name uncultured bacterium. RNAcentral describes it as "partial 16S ribosomal RNA". It matches the Rfam family "Bacterial small subunit ribosomal RNA", at positions 509 to 807 of the family's 1533-position model. The record is from RNAcentral.
CAGUAGCCGCGGUAAUACGGAGGGUGCAAGCGUUAAUCGGAAUUACUGGGCGUAAAGCGCACGCAGGCGGUUUGUUAAGUCAGAUGUGAAAUCCCCGAGCUUAACUUGGGAACUGCAUUUGAAACUGGCAAGCUAGAGUCUUGUAGAGGGGGGUAGAAUUCCAGGUGUAGCGGUGAAAUGCGUAGAGAUCUGGAGGAAUACCGAUGGCGAAGGCAGCCAUCUGGCCUAAUACUGACGCUGAGGUACGAAAGCAUGGGGAGCAAACAGGAUUAGAUACCCGAGUAGUCCCUGUCUCUUAUAC